RNAcentral lists this ribosomal RNA (484 nucleotides) under uncultured bacterium. RNAcentral describes it as "partial 16S ribosomal RNA". It matches the Rfam family "Bacterial small subunit ribosomal RNA", at positions 30 to 507 of the family's 1533-position model. The record is from RNAcentral.
AUUGAACGCUAGCGGGAUGCUUUACACAUGCAAGUCGAACGGCAGCGCGGACUUCGGUCUGGCGGCGAGUGGCGAACGGGUGAGUAAUGUAUCGGAACGUGCCCAGUAGCGGGGGAUAACUACGCGAAAGCGUAGCUAAUACCGCAUACGCCCUACGGGGGAAAGCAGGGGAUCGUAAGACCUUGCACUAUUGGAGCGGCCGAUAUCGGAUUAGCUAGUUGGUGAGGUAACGGCUCACCAAGGCGACGAUCCGUAGCUGGUUUGAGCGGACGACCAGCCACACUGGGACUGAGACACGGCCCAGACUCCUACGGGAGGCAGCAGUGGGGAAUUUUGGACAAUGGGGGCAACCCUGAUCCAGCCAUCCCGCGUGUGCGAUGAAGGCCUUCGGGUUGUAAAGCACUUUUGGCAGGAAAGAAACGUCGCGGGCUAAUACCCCGUGGAACUGACGGUACCUGCAGAAUAAGCACCGGCUAACUACGUG